CCUACGGGUGGCAGCAGUGAGGAAUAUUGGUCAAUGGACGAGAGUCUGAACCAGCCAAGUAGCGUGAAGGAUGACUGCCCUAUGGGUUGUAAACUUCUUUUAUAUGGGAAUAAAAUGUUCCACGUGUGGGCUUUUGUAUGUACCAUAUGAAUAAGGAUCGGCUAACUCCGUGCCAGCAGCCGCGGUAAUACGGAGGAUCCGAGCGUUAUCCGGAUUUAUUGGGUUUAAAGGGAGCGUAGGUGGAUUGUUAAGUCAGUUGUGAAAGUUUGCGGCUCAACCGUAAAAUUGCAGUUGAAACUGGCAGUCUUGAGUACAGUAGAGGUGGGCGGAAUUCGUGGUGUAGCGGUGAAAUGCUUAGAUAUCACGAAGAACUCCGAUUGCGAAGGCAGCUUACUGGACUGCAACUGACACUGAGGCUCGAAAGUGUGGGUAUCAAACAGGAUUAGAUACCCCUGUAGUC
RNAcentral lists this ribosomal RNA (460 nucleotides) under uncultured bacterium. RNAcentral describes it as "partial 16S ribosomal RNA". It matches the Rfam family "Bacterial small subunit ribosomal RNA", at positions 338 to 795 of the family's 1533-position model. The record is from RNAcentral.